Molecule: ribosomal RNA, 1012 nt
Filed under: Serratia marcescens
Lineage: Bacteria; Pseudomonadati; Pseudomonadota; Gammaproteobacteria; Enterobacterales; Yersiniaceae
Description: bacterial SSU rRNA
Rfam family: Bacterial small subunit ribosomal RNA
Source: RNAcentral
GCUGGCGGCAGGCUUACACAUGCAAGUCGAGCGGUAGCACAGGGGAGCUUGCUCCCCGGGCGACGACAGGCGGACGGGUGAGUAAUGUCUGGGAAACUGCCUGAUGGAGGGGGAUAACUACUGGAAACGGUAGCUAAUACCGCAUAACGUCGCAAGACCAAAGAGGGGGACCUUCGGGCCUCUUGCCAUCAGAUGUGCCCAGAUGGGAUUAGCUAGUAGGUGGGGUAAUGGCUCACCUAGGCGACGAUCCCUAGCUGGUCUGAGAGGAUGACCAGCCACACUGGAACUGAGACACGGUCCAGACUCCUACGGGAGGCAGCAGUGGGGAAUAUUGCACAAUGGGCGCAAGCCUGAUGCAGCCAUGCCGCGUGUGUGAAGAAGGCCUUCGGGUUGUAAAGCACUUUCAGCGAGGAGGAAGGUGGUGAACUUAAUACGUUCAUCAAUUGACGUUACUCGCAGAAGCCCGCACAAGCGGUGGAGCAUGUGGUUUAAUUCGAUGCAACGCGAAGAACCUUACCUACUCUUGACAUCCAGAGAACUUUCCAGAGAUGGAUUGGUGCCUUCGGGAACUCUGAGACAGGUGCUGCAUGGCUGUCGUCAGCUCGUGUUGUGAAAUGUUGGGUUAAGUCCCGCAACGAGCGCAACCCUUAUCCUUUGUUGCCAGCGGUUCGGCCGGGAACUCAAAGGAGACUGCCAGUGAUAAACUGGAGGAAGGUGGGGAUGACGUCAAGUCAUCAUGGCCCUUACGAGUAGGGCUACACACGUGCUACAAUGGCGUAUACAAAGAGAAGCGACCUCGCGAGAGCAAGCGGACCUCAUAAAGUACGUCGUAGUCCGGAUUGGAGUCUGCAACUCGACUCCAUGAAGUCGGAAUCGCUAGUAAUCGUAGAUCAGAAUGCUACGGUGAAUACGUUCCCGGGCCUUGUACACACCGCCCGUCACACCAUAGUAUGGGUUGCAAAAGAAGUAGGUAGCUUAACCUUCGGGAGGGCGCUUACCACUUGUGAUUACU